AUCAUAUUUGUUCUAACAAUGUUUAAUUGAGGGUCGUAAUAAAGUUAUGAAGCCUCUCUCCCUCUUCGGUAUUUACAGUUCCACUGCUGGGUUUUUCCAUACUGACACCAACAAUAAAAGCGGCCUGCAUCCUUAGGGGUGUGUGUGACUUCACAGGGGUGUGUGAUGGAGGGGUGGCCUCUGUAAGCCUCUCUGCCAACCUCAUAUAAACCCAUGCACACCCACACCACACACCCAUCCAAACACACUCUCUCACACACACACUCCGGCCGAGUACAGAACACACACAGAGAUGGACUUUCUGAAAGGAUCUGGGAAGCAGGUGGAUGCAGUGAUCGACAAAGCAGCUGUUGUGGUGAAGGAGAAGGUGGGAGAGAUGAUCGGAGGAGGAGCUAAGGAGGAGAAGAAAGAUGAAGGUAUUGGUGGCAAGGUGUCUGAUGUUGUGGUUGUUCCACCAGGUAUUGGUGGCAUGGUGUCUGAUGUUGUGGUUGUUCCUCCAGGUAUUGGUGGCAUGGUGUCUGAUGUUGUGGUUGUUCCACCAGGUAUUGGUGGCAUGGUGUCUGAUGUUGUG
Molecule: long non-coding RNA, 571 nt
Filed under: Salmo salar (Atlantic salmon)
Lineage: Eukaryota; Metazoa; Chordata; Actinopteri; Salmoniformes; Salmonidae
Description: lncRNA (ENSSSAG00000099859.1)
Source: RNAcentral